RNAcentral lists this ribosomal RNA (468 nucleotides) under uncultured bacterium. Its description in RNAcentral is "partial 16S ribosomal RNA". It matches the Rfam family "Bacterial small subunit ribosomal RNA", at positions 28 to 507 of the family's 1533-position model. The record is from RNAcentral.
GACGAACGCUGGCGGCGUGCUUAACACAUGCAAGUCGAACGGAAAGGCCCGGCUCUUGCUGCGUGCUCGAGAGGCGAGCGCGGGUGUGAAACGCGAGUAUCCCGCCCCUGUCUGUGGGGGAUCUUCAGGGGAAACCGGCUAUUAUCCCAUAUGAGCUCCUGCUCCGCGGGGGUGGUUGGAGAAUGUCGGCGGUUGUGGAUGGACUCGCGGGUUAUCAGCUUGUUGGGGUGGUAGUGGCUUUCCAAGGCUUUGACGGGUAGCCUGCCUGAGAGGGUGACCGGCCACAUGGGGACUGAGAGACGCCACAGACUGGAACGGGACGCAGCAGUGGGGAAUAUUGCAGAAUGGGCGGAAGCGUGAUGCAGCAGCGCCGCGUGCGGGAUGACGGCCUUCGGGUUAAAAACCGCUUUGGACUGAACCGAAGCGUGAGUGACGGUAACGGGUCAAGAAGCACCGGCUAACUACGUG